This 405-nucleotide ribosomal RNA is filed under the name Triticum aestivum (bread wheat). RNAcentral's name for it is "partial small subunit ribosomal RNA". The record is from RNAcentral. Lineage: Eukaryota; Viridiplantae; Streptophyta; Magnoliopsida; Poales; Poaceae.
AUGGCGAACUUACACCGUAAGACCAUCACCUCCGACUCGGUCUGCCCACGGUGCGAAAUCACCCAUGAGAACGCAACGCACGUUGCCUUCCUUUGCCCAUGUGAAACACAUGUGUGGUCCCUCCUUGGGUUGCAGCAACCUCACUCCAUCGACCUUCUAUGGGAUACUACGACUCCGGUCGGCCUCGACAUCAACAUUUGGCCUACCGUCGCCCUCGCCAUUCUCUGGAAACUUUGGGACUCCCGGAACGCCCGAGUUUUUCGCAAUGAACGUCACACACCCCUAGAUACUCUUCGGAACAUCAUCUCAGAUUUCACGCUUUGGGCCUUUAGGUUUAAGGACCCCGUCAGUAGGGAGGCGGCCGUGUCUUGGCGCCUUUUCCUUUCCUCUCGAUGUAACCCGUGA